Ailuropoda melanoleuca (giant panda) is the source of this 673-nucleotide long non-coding RNA. RefSeq lists it as uncharacterized. The record is from RefSeq and is a predicted model, not a curated record. NCBI's taxonomy places the organism in Eukaryota, Metazoa, Chordata, Mammalia, Carnivora, Ursidae. The transcript has 3 exons.
GAGGCCGACUAGGUGCUACAGUGUGGCUGGGCCGUGCAGGUCAGGCAUAGAGCUGGCCACCCUCUGAUAUCUCCCUCCUGGUCUCGAAAUCUGGGUCCUAACUCUCCCACCCUCCCUCCUUCCUAGGUGUGACCCAGCUUUGCCCUUCUGCCUGGGCUCUGUGGCUCUGACCUGGGCUCCACUUCCAGGCCUGGUUCUCUUUUUUCUCUCUAAAGCUUCUCAUGCCUGUGUCUGGCCACUUCUAGUUGCCCUCCUGUUUCUUCUUCACUUCUCUUUCACUUAGUUCUCCUUUUGUUCGGGGCUGGAGAGUCUCAAAAGGCAGUGGGACAACCGCCUGGCAGCCUGGAAACGGGGCAACAGCCCUCUGGGCACAUUUCUUGGUCUGAGCACCUGAAGUACUCGGCACCUGUAAAGGAGGCUCCUCCAUGUCUAUGAAGACACAAAAGGCCCAGCACAGUCGGUGCUGUCUUUGCCGUGGAACUGAGAAAGGGAACAGGUGGCCUCGAGGUAUAGUGAGCCCCCGUCUCAGAGGUAUUCUGCAGCAACAGAGGUCCCCGUCCCUCACUCACCGUGCUGAUACCCAGAACUCCUCUUAAAAAGCAGCUGCCAGAAUUUGCUGAGGUGGUGGCCUGGGGAGGCGGUGGAGGCCGCAGAGGCUGAAGGGACCCUAAAG